GGGUCAGCGACUUAUAUUCUGUAGCAAGGUUAACCGUAUAGGGGAGCCGAAGGGAAACCGAGUCUUAACUGGGCGUUAAGUUGCAGGGUAUAGACCCGAAACCCGGUGAUCUAGCCAUGGGCAGGUUGAAGGUUGGGUAACACUAACUGGAGGACCGAACCGACUAAUGUUGAAAAAUUAGCGGAUGACUUGUGGCUGGGGGUGAAAGGCCAAUCAAACCGGGAGAUAGCUGGUUCUCCCCGAAAGCUAUUUAGGUAGCGCCUCGUGAACUCAUCUUCGGGGGUAGAGCACUGUUUCGGCUAGGGGGUCAUCCCGACUUACCAACCCGAUGCAAACUGCGAAUACCGAAGAAUGUUAUCACGGGAGACACACGGCGGGUGCUAACGUCCGUCGUGAAGAGGGAAACAACCCAGACCGCCAGCUAAGGUCCCAAAGUCACAGUUAAGUGGGAAACGAUGUGGGAAGGCUCAGACAGCCAGGAUGUUGGCUUAGAAGCAGCCAUCAUUUAAAGAAAGCGUAAUAGCUCACUGGUCGAGUCGGCCUGCGCGGAAGAUGUAACGGGGCUAAACUGUGCACCGAAGCUGCGGCAGCGACGCUUAUGCGUUGUUGGGUAGGGGAGCGUUCUGUAAGCCUGCGAAGGUGUCCUGUGAGGGAUGCUGGAGGUAUCAGAAGUGCGAAUGCUGACAUAAGUAACGAUAA
This 699-nucleotide ribosomal RNA is filed under the name Salmonella enterica. RNAcentral describes it as "partial 23S ribosomal RNA". It matches the Rfam family "Bacterial large subunit ribosomal RNA", at positions 617 to 1315 of the family's 2925-position model. RNAcentral also lists the same sequence under 2 other names. The record is from RNAcentral. Lineage: Bacteria; Pseudomonadati; Pseudomonadota; Gammaproteobacteria; Enterobacterales; Enterobacteriaceae.